RNAcentral lists this long non-coding RNA (4069 nucleotides) under Brassica napus (rape). RNAcentral's name for it is "long non-coding RNA (BNAP_LNC019634)". The record is from RNAcentral. Lineage: Eukaryota; Viridiplantae; Streptophyta; Magnoliopsida; Brassicales; Brassicaceae.
CAUCCCAACUCCUAUGAGAUUUAUUUAAUUUCCUGGUCAUUAUACACCACUUUAUGUAUCCAAAUCAAGCUUCUUACAAAUUGAUUCAUCCUGGUUUGAUUGUAACGACGAAGAAGCUGUCCUAUUCCCAAACUGGAAAACUGGAAUCACCUGAUUUGAAAGUGGGAUAACUUAUUCAUCCCAACUCCUAUGAGAUUUAUUCAACUUGCUGGUGAUUCUCCACCACUUUAUGUAUCCAAAUCAAGCUUCCUACAAAGUGACUCAUCCUGCUUUGAUUGGAACGACGAAGAAGAUGUCCUAUUCCCAAACUGGAAAACUCUUCUUUCAAAGUGAUUCAUCCUGCUUUGAUUGGAAUGACAAAGAAGCUAUCCUAUUCCCAAACUGGGAAACUGGAAUCACCUGAUUUGAAAGUGAGAUAACUUCUUCAUCCCAACUCCUAUGAGAUUUAUUCAACUUCCUGGUCAUUCUCCACCAUUUUAUGUAUCCAAAUCAAGCUUCUUCCAAAGUGAUUCAUCCCGCUUUGAUUGGAACAACGAAGAAGUUGUCCUAUUCCCAAACUGGGAAACUGGAAUCAUCUGAUUUGAAAGUGGAAUAACUUCUUCAUCCCAAAUCCUAUGAGAUUUAUUCAACUUCUUGGUCAUUCUCCACCACUUUAUGUCUCCAAAUCAAGCUUCUUACAUAGUGAUUCAUCCUGCUUUGAUUGGAACGACGAAGAAGCUAUCCUAUUCCAAAACUGGGAAACUAAAAUCACCUGAUUUGAAAGUGGGAUAGCUUCUUCAUCCCAACUCCUAUGAGAUUUAUUCAACUUCCUGGUCAUUCUCCACCACUUAAUGUAUCCAAAUCAAGCUUCUUACAAAGUGAUUCAUCCUGGUUUGAUUGGAAAGACGAAGAAGCUGUCCUAUUCCCAAACUGGGAAACUGGAAUCACCUGAUUUGAAAGUGGGAUAACUUCUUCAUCCCAACUCCUAUGAGAUUUAUUCAACUUGCUGGUGAUUCUCCAACACUUAUAUAUCCAAAUCAAGGUUCUUUCAAAGUGAUUCAUCCUGCUUUGAUAGGAAUGACAAAGAAGCUAUCAUAUUCCCAAACUGGGAAACUGGAAUCACCUGAAGUGAGAUAACUUCUUCAUCCCAACUCCUAUGAGAUUUAUUCAACUUCCUGGUGAUUCUUCACCACUUUAUGUAUCCAAAUCAAGCUUCUUACAAAGUGAUUCAUCCUACUUUGAUUGAAACGACGAAGAAGUUGUCCUAUUCCCAAACUGGGAAACUGGAAUCACCUAAUUUGAAAGUGGGAUACCUUCUUCAUCCCAACUCCUAUGAGAUUUAUUCAACUUCCUAGUCAUUCCCCACCACUUAAUGUAUCCAAAUCAAGCUUCUUACAAAGUUAUUCAUCCUGGUUUGAUUGGAACGACGAAGAAGAUGUUCUAUUCCCAAACUGGGAAACUGGAAUCACAUGAUUUAAAAGUGGAAUAACUUCUUCAUCCCAACUCCUAUGAAAUUUAUUCAACUUCCUGGUCAUUCUCCACCACUUUAUUUAUCAAAAUCAUGCUUCUUACAAAGUGUUUCAUCCUUCUUUGAUUGUAACGACGAAGAAGCUGUCCUAUUCCCAAACUGGGAAACUGGAAUCACCUGAUUUGAAAGUGAGAUAACUUCUUCAUCCCAAAUCCUAUGAGAUUUAUUCAACUUCCUCGUGAUUCUCCACCACUUUAUGUAUCCAAAUCAAGCUUCUUACAAAGUGAUUCAUCCUGCUUUGAUUGAAACGACGAAGAAGUUGUCCUAUUCCCAAACUGGGAAACUGGAAUCACCUAAUUUGAAAGUGGGAUACCUUCUUCAUCCCAACUCCUAUGAGAUUUAUUCAACUUCCUAGUCAUUCCCCACCACUUAAUGUAUCCAAAUCAAGCUUCUUACAAAGUAAUUCAUCCUGGUUUGAUUGGAACGACGAAGAAGAUGUUCUAUUCCCAAACUGGGAAACUGGAAUCACAUGAUUUAAAAGUGGAAUAACUUCUUCAUCCCAACUCCUAUGAAAUUUAUUCAACUUCCUGGUCAUUCUCCACCACUUUAUUUAUCAAAAUCAUGCUUCUUACAAAGUGUUUCAUCCUUCUUUGAUUGUAACGACGAAGAAGCUGUCCUAUUCCCAAACUGGGAAACUGGAAUCACCUGAUUUGAAAGUGAGAUAACUUCUUCAUCCCAAAUCCUAUGAGAUUUAUUCAACUUCCUCGUGAUUCUCCACCACUUUAUGUAUCCAAAUCAAGCUUCUUACAAAGUGAUUCAUCCUGCUUUGAUUGGAACGACAAAGAAGAUGAUCUAUUCCCAAACUGGGAAACUAGAAUCACCUGAUUUUAAAGUGGAAUAACUUCUUCAUCUCAACUCCUAUGAGAUUUAUUCAACUUCCUGGUGAUUCUCCAACACUUUAUGUAUCCAAACGAAGCUUCUUACAAAGUGAUUCAUCUUGAAUUGAUUGGAACGACGAAGAUGCUGUCCUAUUCCCAAACUGGGAAACUGGAAUCACAUUAUUUGAAAGUGGGAUAACUUCUUCAUCCCAACUCCAAUGAGAUUUAUUCAACUUCCUAGUCAUUCCCCACCACUUAAUGUAUCCAAAUCAAGCUUCUUACAAAGUAAUUCAUCCUGGUUUGAUUGGAACGACGAAGAAGAUGUUCUAUUCCCAAACUGGGAAACUGGAAUCACAUGAUUUAAAAGUGGAAUAACUUCUUCAUCUAAACUUCUAUGAGAUUUAUUCAACUUUCUGGUGAUUCUCCAACACUUUAUGUAUCCAAAUCAGGUUUCUUACAAAGUGAUUCAUCCUGAUUUGAUUGGAACGACGAAGAAGCUGUCCUAUUCCCAAACUGGGAAACUGGAAUCACCUGAUUUGAAAGUGAGAUAACUUCUUCAUCCCAACUCCUAUUAGAUUUAUUCAUCUUACUGGUUAUUCUCCACCACUUUAUGUAUCCAAAUCAAGCGUCCUACAAAGUGACUCAUCCUGCUUUGAUUGGAACGACGAAGAAGAUGUCUUAUUCCCAAACUGGAAAACUCGAAUCACCUGAUUUGAAAGUGGGAUAACUUCUUCAUUCCAACUCCUAUGAGAUUUAUUCAACUUCUUGGUGAUUCUACACCAUUUUAUGUAUCCAAAUCAAGCUUCUUCCAAAGUGAUUCAUCCCGCUUUGAUUGGAACGACGAAGAAGUUGUCCUAUUCCCAAGCUGGGAAACUGGAAUCAUCUGAUUUAAAAGUGGAAUAACUUCUUCAUCCCAACUCCUAUAAGAUUUAUUCAACUUCCUGUUCAUUCUUCACCACUUUAUGUAUCCAAAUCAAGCUUCUUACAAAGUGAUUCAUCCUGCUUUGAUUGGAACGACGAAGAAGUUGUCCUAUUCCCAAACUGGGAAACUGGAAUCACCUGAUUUGAAAGUGGGAUAACUUAUUCAUCCCAACUCCUAUGAGAUUUAUUCAACUUGCUGGUGUUUCUCCACCACUUAAUGUAUCCAAAUCAAGCUUCUUACAAAGUGACUCACCCUCCUUUGAUUGGAAUGACAAAGAAGAUGUCCUAUUCCCAAACUGGGAAACUGGAAUCACCUGAUUUGAAAGUGGGAUAACUUCUUCAUCCCAACUCCUAUGAGAUUUAUUCAACUUCCUGUUCAUUCUCCACCACUUUAUGUCUCCAAAUCAAGCUUCUUACAAAGUGAUUCAUCCUGCUUUGAUAGGAACGACGAAGAAGCUAUCCUAUUCCAAAACUGGGAAACUAAAAUCACCUGAUUCGAAAUUGGGAUAGCUUCUUCAUCCCAACUCCUAUGAGAUUUAUUCAACUUCCUGGUCAUUCUCCACCACUUAAUGUAUCCAAAUCAAGCUUCUUACAAAGUGAUUCAUCCUGGUUUGAUUGGAACGACGAAGAAGAUGUUCUAUUCCCAAAGUGGGAAACUGGAAUCACCUGAUUUAAAAGUGGAAUAACUUUUUCAUCCCAACUCCUAUGGGAUUUAUUCAACUUCCUGGUCAUUCUUCACCACUUUAUGUAUCCAAAUCAAGUUCUUACAAAGUGAUUCAUCCUGCUUUGAUUGGAACAACGAAGAAGUUGUCCUAUUCCCAAC